Molecule: ribosomal RNA, 450 nt
Filed under: uncultured bacterium
Lineage: Bacteria
Description: partial 16S ribosomal RNA
Rfam family: Bacterial small subunit ribosomal RNA
Source: RNAcentral
GUGGGGAAUUUUGGACAAUGGGCGCAAGCCUGAUCCAGCAAUGCCGCGUGCAGGAAGAAGGCCUUCGGGUUGUAAACUGCUUUUGUACGGAACGAAACGGUCCGGGUUAAUACCCUGGGCUAAUGACGGUACCGUAAGAAUAAGCACCGGCUAACUACGUGCCAGCAGCCGCGGUAAUACGUAGGGUGCAAGCGUUAAUCGGAAUUACUGGGCGUAAAGCGUGCGCAGGCGGUUUUGUAAGACAGGCGUGAAAUCCCCGGGCUCAACCUGGGAAUUGCGCUUGUGACUGCAAGGCUGGAGUGCGGCAGAGGGGGAUGGAAUUCCGCUUGUAGCAGUGAAAUGCGUAGAUAUGCGGAGGAACACCGAUGGCGAAGGCAAUCCCCUGGGCCUGCACUGACGCUCAUGCACGAAAGCGUGGGGAGCAAACAGGAUUAGAACCACUUGUAGUCC